RNA transcript from Folsomia candida, 2460 nucleotides. RefSeq lists it as uncharacterized. The record is from RefSeq and is a predicted model, not a curated record. NCBI's taxonomy places the organism in Eukaryota, Metazoa, Arthropoda, Collembola, Entomobryomorpha, Isotomidae. The transcript is spliced from 4 exons.
GACGAGACGAUAAAAUUUUCGUAAAUAAGCCUUGCUUAAUAUAAACAACUUAUUUUCGUCCAUGGUUCAUCAAAAUUUCGUGUACAGACAUAAAUCAGUUAUCGAUUCACUAACAUAACAUCAAUUUAGAUAGCUCAACUUCCUAAAAUCUGACAUGAAAACACAAAUAAUUACAUACGUCUUCCUACCUACAUUUGUCAGUAAUGUAAACCUCUCCUUGAAAAAUCUCGCCUAUUAAUCAAUUCAACGUUUAGAUGGGGAGAAAAUCCAUCCCUUCAAACAGUUCGAUCUGUGAUGAUGGGGUCCUGUUUAUUUUGACGAGGAUUUCUCUCAGCCGUGGGUAUGGAACUGAUCAACGCGUCCGUGUACGGAUAAACUCUGACGUCAAUCAGCCUUACUGGACGCGAGAAGUCAUACUUCUUAAUAAUCCUGGCCGAAAGGCAUAAUUUAUUGUAUGAGUACCAGAAGUGCAAGGAAUAAGCUCCAGGACAAUCCCUAUAAUUAAGGAUAGUAGGGAGUUGUAAGCCGUUAGGUGGCACCUACAUAAUUUUUUGCAUUUCUUGCGGUGUAGUGAAAGAAAUGUUGAAAACGCGGAUGAAAUAAAGCGAAUACUUCACUCUUAAAUAAUUCUGUAUUUAGUACACAAUUGGAUCUGGGAAUGAUUUGGAGAAUUUGGAUCCAGAGAAAUAUGGCCAGUUUCUUAUAUUUAGGAACAAAGCGGAUGUGGCUGAAGAGCACUGCCAAAUCGAAUGUGAUGAAAAUGGAACCUUUUGGCUGUAUAGUUUGGGAUCCGCAAACACAUUUCUGAACGGAAAAUUAAUUCCAGAUUCUCCGGUCAUGUUAAAAUUUGGAGACAUAUUUCACUUUUCGCAUAUUAUUUCACAAUUAUGGGAUUCAGCAUUAAUUCAUCUAACCAAAACUGGAUAUCGAAAGAGGCUGUAUCGCAUGAACAAAUUGGGUGAGGAAUACGCCGUAUUCAAAUUUGACAAAAAGCCAACCAAUAGUUAUGAAAACAAACAACCUGGACAAACUUUCUACCAAUUCUCAAGACUGUCAAAAAUCCUUAAUUAAUCACCUCGUUUUUGAAAACCAUGUCAUACUCACAAAAAUAUUCGAACACCUCGCCAACCCGGACCCAGGGUUUCCCUGGAACCAGGAGGACCUUCUCAACUGUCGCCCAAGCAUGGAAUGACUCGGCUCGACUCGUUCUACAGAAAAAUUAUGUUGUAAAACUCACCGUAAUUGCUGACCACCUGAUCCACAAACCAAACUACGUAACGAACCGAUUUUUUUGGAAAACGUACCGCAUGAAGGGGCUAAAAUUUGACGCUAUGUAUAUCGAUAUCUGGCCACAGGAAUCCAGUUGCGAGACACGAGAUAACCAAGAUCGAAACAACGCAAUGACAAAAUUUAACCAAGAUUUAUCCGACUUUUUAAGUCAACCAGAUUUCCACCCUCUCAAAGUUCUCUGGAUAAAUGUAGAUUAUUUGACCCCAAUUUCAACCCUCUUCUCCAAAUUUUACCCCUCUCUUGAAAAACUCUACAUUCAGAUUAACAUGCUCUGGAUUGAUGAUGAAAACAAAUCUGGAUUCCCUGAAAAUUUAAAAUUUCCAAAGUUGAAAAAGUUAACGCUCGAGUUCUGCGAGAUUAAGCAGGGUGACCUGAAUAAAAUGUCGGACUCUAAAUCUCUCGCCCAACUCGUCCAAGCAGCGAAUACAGAAUAAAAUUGAGGAGCUUGUAUUGAAAAAUUACGUCAAACUUCCCCUCUCCGACUUCAGCUCGUUUAAGAAUUUGAGAAAAAUAGAGAUUCGCGGUCAGCGAGUGUGUCGCGUGGAAAUACUGAAUUUGCACGAUUUUUUCACCCAGUUCAUGACCUUACCCACCGGUCAACUUCGUUCAUUCCGGUUAAUCAAUGCAGACACUGAUAUCCAAUCCACCCCAGCGGAAGCAUUGCUGAACUUCAUUCAAAAACAGAGGCAGAGUUUGGAACACUUGGAACUCUCCGUCAACUCAAAAUUUCUUCAGCAGCCUGUAAAACUUCCGAGAUGCAUGCCAAAUUUGAAAACGUUAUGGGUGAGUGGGGACCGUGAUAGGACGGGGUCGGAUUAUUUGUGGGGGGUCAUUUUAGAGAGCCAGGUGGCGAAGAAGAGCGGGGAGUUUACGUACGAAUUCAAGUCGAGAGUGGCGCCUUUCGUGGUACGUGAGGGCAGCAAAUGUGGUCUGGAAUCGUGUCGCAGUUGUAAUGAUGCUUUGGCGUAUGGUGUCUGGCAGAAAAAUUAUGGACAAUAAGUUAUAGAUAUUCCAAUACUUGGAAAAUAGAAAUUUGAGCUUGCGUGAAAUGAAUUGGAUGUGAAAAUAAAUUGCCUUAUCAAUUGAAGUGUACCGAAAAUAUUACCAAUUUUUAAAAAUUACUCAUGUUGUGAGGUUGAAGUUGAAAGCAAAUAAAUAAUUUUAUCUCGA